UAGAUCACAGCAAAGAUACUCAUUUGUUAGUAGUGCCAGGAAGCAGGCAGUUUCCAUGGUAACUGACAGACCGAGUUUACUGUGGAAAUUUCCGGAAUUAACAGAGCUGCAUUGCAGAAGGAUGCAUAAAGCAGUAUUCAUCUAGAGAUCGUAACAGUACGGACACAGAAGAACAGUUGCAGUGAUGUGCAGGAGAGAGACUGAGAACACACAGCAUUGAGUCAUCAGGAAAACUGAAGAUCUCCCCUGAACAACACUGGGAUUUCACUGCAGAGGACUUGAAAGACCUUGGAGAAAUUGGACGAGGAGCUUAUGGUUCUGUCAACAAAAUGGUCCACAAACCAAGUGGGCAAAUAAUGGCAGUUAAAAGAAUUCGGUCAACAGUGGAUGAAAAAGAACAAAAACAACUUCUUAUGGAUUUGGAUGUAGUAAUGCGGAGUAGUGAUUGCCCAUACAUUGUUCAGUUUUAUGGUGCACUCUUCAGAGAGGGUGACUGUUGGAUCUGUAUGGAACUCAUGUCUACCUCGUUUGAUAAGUUUUACAAAUAUGUAUAUAGUGUAUUAGAUGAUGUUAUUCCAGAAGAAAUUUUAGGCAAAAUCACUUUAGCAACUGUGAAAGCACUAAACCACUUAAAAGAAAACUUGAAAAUUAUUCACAGAGAUAUCAAACCUUCCAAUAUUCUUCUGGACAGAAGUGGAAAUAUUAAGCUCUGUGACUUCGGCAUCAGUGGACAGCUUGUGGACUCUAUUGCCAAGACAAGAGAUGCUGGCUGUAGGCCAUACAUGGCACCUGAAAGAAUAGACCCAAGCGCAU
This 813-nucleotide small RNA is filed under the name Pan troglodytes (chimpanzee). RNAcentral describes it as "processed transcript". Lineage: Eukaryota; Metazoa; Chordata; Mammalia; Primates; Hominidae. The record is from RNAcentral.